Molecule: unclassified non-coding RNA, 378 nt
Filed under: plant metagenome
Description: partial contains 5.8S ribosomal RNA, internal transcribed spacer 2, and large subunit ribosomal RNA
Rfam family: 5.8S ribosomal RNA (bases 1-105)
Source: RNAcentral
GAAAUGCGAUAAGUAAUGUGAAUUGCAGAAUUCAGUGAAUCAUCGAAUCUUUGAACGCACCUUGCGCUCCUUGGUAUUCCUUGGAGCAUGCCUGUUUGAGUAUCAUGAAAUCUUCAAAGUAAAUCUUUUGUUAACUCAAUUGGUUUCUACUUUGGUAUUGGAGGUCUUUGCAGCUUCACACCUGCUCCUCUUUGUUCAUUAGCUGGAUCUCAGUGUUAUGCUUGGUUCCACUCGGCGUGAUAAGUUAUCUAUCGCUGAGGACACUGUAAAAGGUGGCCAAGGUAAAUGCAGAUGAUCCGCUUCUAAUAGUCCAUUGACUUGGACAAUCCUUUUAUGAUCUGAUCUCAAAUCAGGUAGGACUACCCGCUGAACUUAAGC